Molecule: long non-coding RNA, 247 nt
Organism: Gopherus flavomarginatus (Mexican gopher tortoise)
Lineage: Eukaryota; Metazoa; Chordata; Testudines; Testudinidae
Exons: 3
Source: RefSeq, a predicted model, not a curated record
UGCAGCCUGCUUGGAUCAUCACUUAGGGUACACAGUAGCCAAGUUUUGAAAUACCACACCCCACCACACCAUGAGGAUGGAAGCAGACUGGAGAUCCUUGGGACAUCUGCUGACAAGUUUACACAUGAAAAUUAAUUGGUAUAACAUGGUUACUAUGCAGAUGCCAUACCCAAGCAUGGAGCCCACUCAGCUCACUGUCACCAUACAUCUCCUGGGUGCUGCUGGCAGACAUGGUACUGCAGUGCUA